CAACCCUCAAGCCUGGCUUGGUAUUGGGCUCCGCCACUCACCUGGCGGGCCUUAAAAUCAGUGGCGGUGCCGUCGAGGCCCUGAGCGCAGUAAAUAUCCUCGCUAUAGGGACCCGGCGGACGCUGGCCAUCAACCCCCGACUUUCUAA
RNAcentral lists this unclassified non-coding RNA (148 nucleotides) under uncultured Helotiales. RNAcentral describes it as "sequence contains ITS2". The record is from RNAcentral. Lineage: Eukaryota; Fungi; Ascomycota; Leotiomycetes; Helotiales.